GUGCUUGUUUUGGCACGCAGCACAUAUACUAAAGUUGGAAUGAUACAGGGAAGAUUAGUGUGGCCCCUGCCCAAGGAUGACACGACACCCAAAUUCGUGAAGUGUUCAAGAUUUUU
Molecule: small nuclear RNA, 116 nt
Filed under: Rhinolophus ferrumequinum (greater horseshoe bat)
Lineage: Eukaryota; Metazoa; Chordata; Mammalia; Chiroptera; Rhinolophidae
Source: RNAcentral